Molecule: long non-coding RNA, 419 nt
Organism: Salvelinus namaycush (lake trout)
Lineage: Eukaryota; Metazoa; Chordata; Actinopteri; Salmoniformes; Salmonidae
Exons: 3
Source: RefSeq, a predicted model, not a curated record
CAUGCUAUAAAACUGAAAAGUGCUGUGGUCUCUCUGAAUAAAGCACAAAGUGAAGAUGAGAGGAAUAAUACUACUCAGUCUCCUGGGUGUUGUCCUGGCUCUGCCUAAACCUCAACAACAAACUAAACAGCGGUGGCCAAUAGGUUCCAGGUUUCCCCUUGAAAAUGUAGAGGGGUUUGGAGAACAGGAACCACAAGAGACGUCCCAUGGUUUGGUAUACACAGGUACUCAGCCCAUUAUGGAGCCCACUCCUAGACCCUUUGCAAACACGGAGAAGACAACCCUAUCAGCAGCUGUAAACGCUUUAAUAUCAGCAGUUGUAAACGCUAUUCAGAGUUUGGGAGAAUUUUAAAGGACUGUAUUGCUGGUUUGAGUUGGGGCUAUCGUGGUGGUGUGUCCAAUAAACCAGUGGUGUUCAA